Molecule: ribosomal RNA, 468 nt
Filed under: uncultured bacterium
Lineage: Bacteria
Description: partial 16S ribosomal RNA
Rfam family: Bacterial small subunit ribosomal RNA
Source: RNAcentral
GACGAACGCUGGCGGCGUGCCUAACACAUGCAAGUCGAACGGAAAGGCCCUGCUUUUGUGGGGUGCUCGAGUGGCGAACGGGUGAGUAACACGUGAGUAACCUGCCCUUGACUUUGGGAUAACUUCAGGAAACUGGGGCUAAUACCGGAUAGGAGCUCCUGCUGCAUGGUGGGGGUUGGAAAGUUUCGGCGGUUGGGGAUGGACUCGCGGCUUAUCAGCUUGUUGGUGGGGUAGUGGCUUACCAAGGCUUUGACGGGUAGCCGGCCUGAGAGGGUGAUCGGCCACAUUGGGACUGAGAUACGGCCCAGACUCCUACGGGAGGCAGCAGUGGGGAAUAUUGCACAAUGGGCGGAAGCCUGAUGCAGCAACGCCGCGUGCGGGAUGACGGCCUUCGGGUUGUAAACCGCUUUCGCCUGUGACGAAGCGUGAGUGACGGUAAUGGGUAAAGAAGCACCGGCUAACUACGUG